UACGGAAGGCAGCAGUGGGGAAUAUUGCACAAUGGGCGCAAGCCUGAUGCAGCCAUGCCGCGUGUAUGAAAAAGGCCUUCGGGUUGUAAAGUACUUUCAGUCGUGAGGAAGGUGUUAAGGUUAAUAACCUUAGCAAUUGACGUUAGCGACAGAAGAAGCACCGGCUAACUCCGUGCCAGCAGCCGCGGUAAUACGGAGGGUGCGAGCGUUAAUCGGAAUUACUGGGCGUAAAGGGCACGCAGGCGGUUAAUUAAGUUGGAUGUGAAAUCCCCGGGCUUAACCUGGGAAUGGCAUUCAAGACUGGUUAGCUAGAGUCUUGUAGAGGGGGUAGAAUUCCAUGUGUAGCGGUGAAAUGCGUAGAGAUGUGGAGGAAUACCGGUGGCGAAGGCGGCCCCUGGGACAAAGGCUGACGCUCAUGUGCGAAAGCGUGGGGAGCGAAAC
This 441-nucleotide ribosomal RNA is filed under the name uncultured bacterium. RNAcentral describes it as "bacterial SSU rRNA". It matches the Rfam family "Bacterial small subunit ribosomal RNA", at positions 340 to 774 of the family's 1533-position model. The record is from RNAcentral.